GUGCUGCUUUUUUUUUCGGAAUCCUACCUGUUUCCUCUGUCUUUAUCCGUCCUUAGUCAGCCCCAAAACGUCCUUCAACAUUCCUUUGCGACCCUCCGGGUCCCCCCACUGCCUCAUCACAGGAAGGAGGCCACCCCGUCCACAAGAGCAAAGGGUGCAAGACGCGAAACAGUGGUGAGAGGCGUCCGUGCGGAAGAAAAGGAAGGCAAUAGCAGAAAUCAGUGCAGAAAGCAUAGGUUGACACCGGAAGCAAGACGGAGGUAACAAGGCUGGUGUCUCAGCAACUGCUACAGAAAGACACACCGAUAUACAUAAAGUUACGGAGCACGCGUGCUAGAGGUUUGCAACGUGCGUGCGCCUUCGUAUCUGCAUCUCUUUGUCUCUGCCUGUGCACGUUUUACUGAGCAGCGCUGCCUGAGUCGGAGUGACGAAGCCCAUCAUAGGGACGCCAUCUUCCUCUUCCCCUCCUCUUCGCAUUCUCGUCGCUGACACGACGAUCACAGAGCCUGCCUACCCACCUACACAUAGCUCACGAGACCCUUCGUCUCGACCGAAAGAAACAAAAAUAGACGCUGAUCAUCGCAUCGUCACCGUUUGAUUUUCUCUCUGUCUGUCCGUCGAGCCUUGAUCGGCUCUCGUGCGAUCCUCCCAUUUUUUCGCAUUUUGUUGCCCCUAACCCUCUCCCUCUCCUCCCUUUCCAACUCUCUGCUCGACAACAGCUACUUCGCGCUGUUGUUUGUGACGCCGCUUUUGCUUUUCUCUUUCCGAGCUCACGCUGCCAGCACGCAAGCCUGAGGGACUGCUUAGACUGAAGUAGGCACCGAAACAAAGGCACUCCCGAAGGUGAACACAGCACGUGUGCGAGUUUGUGGGGCGCUACAGCGAGUGUGAGCGAAAGCUGAAACAGCGCUGGCGUAGUAGCCUGUGACACUCUCUCUGUCCUGACUGACUCCUUCUUUAGCUUCUCCUCCGAGACGCUACCUCUGCGCCCUAAGGCGCCCGCGCACGCACGGGCAUCUUGCGCGCUCCUCUGAGCACCACACCAGCACCAAACAGCGUUGAUAUAUUUUUUGGUUUCUGUCUUUUGCUUGUUUCGUUUGCUUCGUUUUUUUUUCUCUCUUUGGACUCCCGGCGUGUGCGGAUCGACCGGAGCAGAGCAGCGAGGCAUCGCCUCAAAUUCGUUGCGCACGAGCCAACGCCUAAAUAAUGCUGAUACGGGCGAAGGAAACGAAGUAAAAUCGUUCCAAAGAAACCAAACGCCUCCGCUCCUCCUCUCUCUCUCUUUUCUUUUUUUGACUUCGCUGGACUUUCUUUGUGCGUGCUUGCCUGUGUGCUUUCUGUAUUUCAUCUCAAGUGCCUCAGUGCGAGAGGUGGAAAGGCGCGCAGGCAAAGCCAUUGAAGAAAGACGGUAAGGAGAGAGCAAGAAAAAGACUGUGAAACUGAUCUGGUGCUCGUGAAAACCGCUCCGAAUACAUAAGUGCUCGCAAGUUGAGGGAGCGCCUCUGCGUCCUAGCAGUCGAGCUCCUUAGCUCUUUGUGUGUGUGUGUGUGUUCCGGUGCGUGAACCGGAGCUUGAAUUAUCUAACACACAAGUAUCACCUCUUUUUCUAUUCUAAUUCACUUGUUUCGUCUUGCCUGUCGUCAUUUCUCAACGAAGAACAAAGAAAGCCCAAGAGACUGUCGCUGCUCAAGGACUGCACGUUGGAGAGGAAGCGCGGUAAACCGUCUGCCGUGAGUGGGAAGCUCCGCUAAAGUCGAGAGAGGGAACGCAGCACGUAGAGGAAUUUACAGGGCCAAGCGAAAACGAAAAGAACAAGCGGAAACAAGAGCGUCACCGGUUUUUUUUUUUUGUGUAUCGUCCUCGUUCAAGUGAGCGUGGGCGGGGGCGGGGGGUCGUCGUGCUGCUCCACCACGGAAAGCGCCGCGCUCGGCAGCGACUACGAAAACACCGAACCGAAAACCAAAAAGGAAGUAAAGAACGUAGCCGAACUAAAGCACAUAACAAAAAACUAAGAAAAAGCGAAAAAGGGUGUAAGCGACAUUGGGGGAAAAGCGAAAAAACGGUACCCGACACGCACACCCCCACACACACGCAGAGAAAAAUAAGGUCUCAUUUCAGCAGAUACAGGUAUAUAUGCAUACACAGAUAUCCGUAUCCUGCGUCUCCUGUCUGUUUUUUUUUUGGCCUUCCCCCAUCUAGUCCUCUUUCAGUAAUAUUUGGUCUUUUCGUAUGCGCCUCCGUGUCUGUAACCCUUGUUUCGUUUUCCUGUGAAUCACUGGACAGCGGCUCCCUCGUUCUAUUUCUCUAUCGUGUACGCGUGUGUGUCUGUGUGUGGGUGCGUCUCCUCCUCGUUCUUGGGGUUGUCUCUCGCCCCUCGUCAGUCGGCAUAUCCCGGACCCUGACCUCGCUUCGCUCCCGACCAUCACCGCCACGUCACGCCUGUCCAUCUCUUUUUUUCUGUUUUAUUUUGUUCACCUUGUGUCGCUUUCUGCAUCCCUGGCUUGCUAGCGCUCGUGUGCCUUUUUGGUGUUGUUUUCCGUUCUCUCGGUCUCUGUGAUCCUUCUUGGUGAUUUCAUCGCGGCAUUCGGCCUUUAGCUGACACACACACACACACUUCUUUUUCCCCAUCCCUACCCCCUUCCCUCUUCUUCCUCCUCUCCACGAUUCAUCUUCUCACGCAUAAUAAUAUACAUAUAUAGAGAGAGAUAAGCCGCAAAGGCAAGCUCCGAAACGGCGGUGGCUUUUUGCUCCCCUUUUUGUGUGUUUUCGUUUCGUUAGGUUUCACCGUUUUUUUUUUUACCCCGCUCUCCCUCCACUCGUUUUCUCAGCACUUCGACUUGCCGAACGUAAGCAGAGAGGCAGCUUAUCUCUCACACACACAGCCGAAGCGCCACAUCUCAGCCUUUUCUUUGUAUACACCAUUGCACCAUCAGCUCCUCUCUCCGUUUCCCACUCGCUUGUCUCUGUGUGCGUGUGUGUGUGUGUAACGUUGUGCGACGUGUCCUCCUCUCUCUUCUUUCAAACCACUCCUCCCCUCCCCUCAUAUUGUCGCUUCUCGGCACAAUCUGUCUUAUAUUGAUUCUUGGUGGUCUCGGUAUCUUUCCUUUCGCGUGUCUGCUGCGCGCUUGUGCGUUUGUGGGUCGCCUCGUUUUGUUUUCCUUUUCUGUGAAGUAAAUCUCAUUUUGAACGCUUCUUUUCCUGCUUGCGCGUGCUCCUUGCUCGACAACGUAACCCCCCCUCUGUCACUUCCUUUCGUCUUGGCCUGUUUGUGUAUUAUUGUUUUCUUUGUCCGUGGCGGCUAACUGCAGCCUCACCUGUUUUGUCCGCUUGUUUCUCUCUCGCCACGCCACAUCGCCUCGGCUGCGGAUUUCUUUCGCCUUUUCCCUUCUCUAACAUAUCUGUCCACAGAUAUAUCGAUAUCAGUACAUAUAUAUAUAUAUAUAUACAUACACCUACAUCUAUCUAUAUUUCUUUGAGCUUUCUUAGUUUUGGACUUCGGCCGCCGUACCCCCCCCCCCCCAAAAAAAAAAAAACACAGCAAAAAGGAGAAAGAAGAACCGUAACUGCACUUGCUACAUUAUAUAUAUACAUAUACUAUUCAUGUGACUGCGCUUCAGAAGAGUAUUUGCUGUGUCAUCUGUUUUGCUGCUCUCUGUUGCCGCCGCACCAGGUCUCCCCUCCACCUUCUCCUCGAAUCUCUGCCGUCAUUCCGGCACAUACUUUCACCCGCAGCUUUCUUCUUGCGAGCGCUCUCCCCUCAACGUCUCUCUAUUCUGCCACCUUUCUUUUUUUGUGUGUAUGAGUGCGAGUGUGUGUCUGUGCGUGCUCUUCACUUCUAUUGUGUCCUCGCAAGUUUAAUACAGUAUCUGAAGACCUUCUUCCCUCGCUGUGUUUCCACCCUCCCCCCUCCCCACGCCUUAUUCGCUUUUCAUCUUUUUCUGCACGUCUUCUUUUUUCGUACCUGCGUGCGCGCACGUAGCAGGAAGAGGGGGAACCCCACCCCAGACGUUUUCUUUCUUGUAGGCAAACAUUACAUACACCUCCUCCUUCCCCAUCUCUUCCCCCACGGGCUCUCUGUAUCUAUCUCUUUUCUCCAGCCUUGCUUUGGCCGCUGUCACCCCCCUCCCCCGACACACACACACACACACACACACACACACACACAGACAGAACGCCACGCGAGCGUUUCCGCUUCAAUCUAUCGUUGGCCACGGCGUUCAUUACAUUUUUUUCCCGUUGUGCAGCGCCCUCUCUCUCUCCAUUUUCUCCUUUGUUGUUUUCACCUACACAUAUUACUUCGUAACUCUCUAUAUCUGUUCGCCGUGCUUCCUGGCUAUACACGCGCUGGAAUCAGUCAACGAACCCCCUACCUCUCUCCUCCUCUUGUUACCGUUUCGCUCCCGCGGACGCUCGUGCCGGGCGUCUUUUGCCUGUCGUCGUUCAGCUGCUCUGCGCUGCUUGUUUGCUCUGCCCUCGUGCAGCAGAGGUCACCUCUUUCCUUCCCGUUCCCUCCUCCUCUCUCCUCAGUGCCCACCACAGCAUAUAUACAGGUGCGCACAAGCGGCGUCCCUUUCUUCCCCUGUUUCGUUAUUUUUCUUUUUUUUUUGGUGAGUGAGGACCACACGGACCUUGACAUCUUUUCUUCUUGUUGUCCUUGAGCUCACGCACACCUAUACACCUAAGCUUGUGUGUCUGUGUUUGUGUGUGCCCCGAGCUUCUCCUCUCCCUGCUGUGGCCUCGCUCAGAUCAGUACACUUGCGUCUUCCUCGAUCUAUACCCGUCUAUCACACGCACGUGGAAUCGCCUCACACACCUCCUGCUCCUCUGCGUCUGUUUCUGUGUAGUUCUGCCCCCCCCCCCCUUCCUCCCUUCCUCCCUCCUCUAUAUAAUAUAGUAUCAGUAGGAGUAGUUGUGUACGCUCAUUCGCAUCAUUUUAGGUGCGGACAAACAACAAAAAAGCUAAGGUGUUUCGCCUUCGUGUUUUUUCUUUUCUCAUUACUAUUAUCCUUAUUCAUCGUUUGUAUCCGUCCCACCUUCCUCCUCUCCACCAUUCCACUGUCUCCUGUACUCAUACACAUGCCAUCUUCGCACCAGCUGUCGCAGCGGCACGAGUUCGUCACAAAGCCACUGCUGCUGUCGCCCGUGUCGUGUACGAGUCUCAGCGACUGCGCACGGGGGUGGACGGACGACGCGGGUGGUGUGACGCGCUCUUCGUUGACGCAGGAGAGUCUGCACCAUGACUCCUCCAGCCGCACAUGGUCCUCGUCCUUGUCGGCGAGUGUGAGCGGGAUGCUUCUGCAAUCGCUGUCCUGGAUGCAUGCACCGCCGUCUCUCUCCACGUCUCCUGUGGAGAACAGAGCAGCCGCAGUCGCGAUUGCAGCGUCGGCGUCCACGGCUGCUGGUGAUGGGUGCCAGAUACUGCCCAUGGAUGUGUUCGACGUAGCGUUGGCACAGGAUAUUCAGCAGCGCCGUGUGCAGGCGCAUCGCCGCCGCCACUCGAAGAGAACUGAUGUGCUCAAAGUUGAAUCAACUCGAGAUGCAGCGGCGGGCGCUGUGCCGCUGCCUAACGCCUCCGCCAAGGCGACCCCAGGCGCUUCCUUCACUGUAUUUUCUAGGAUGGAGGAUGCGUCGCGGCUGCCCAACUGCUCCCAACAGUUGCCAAAGCCCGUCUCAACUCGUGAAGAGGCCGCUGCUUCUGUCAUGCAUCCGCUGGCGAGUGCAACGGAUAUACACCAGAUGUGUGCUCUACCGGAGCACCAGCAGGGGCAGCCUAAGUCUCCCGCCUUAGCACUGUCAUUCUUCUCCUCCUCCUCCGGCGACCAGCAGCUUCGAAGCGCUGGCGGCAGUUUCUCGUCCUCUGCAGCGUCUUUCUCCAAGUGCAAUGAAAAGAUGCAGCGCUUGCGGGCAUUACUGAGCGAAACACGCACGCUGCAUGAAGCGCUGUCUCAGCAACUGUGUGAGCUGCAACAGGUGGAGGAAAAAGAGCAGCGCCGCAGAGCAGGCAGAGCGCUCGCUCGGCGACCGUGGUAGAGCCCAUAGGGGAACUCACCACCGGUGAAGUGACGGCACCACUGCGGAGAGUCGCAUCGCUUUUCAUAGCUGCACCACGAGAAGAAACAUAAACGCGUGUACAGGUCUGAAGAACGCCGAGGGAGUCGAGGAAUCGAUCCUGUAUCUCUGUCUCUGCUGCUCUCUUCGUGCCGAGCUGUGCCUGCUCCUCAACAGCUAUGUCCGAGAUGUGCGAGACUCUAGCGCGUUGAUCUGCCUCCCACCACCUUUUCCAGCCGUGUGCCAGCGCAUGCGUCAACCUGGCGUAUGGGUGCGUACAUGAUCGCUCAUCGUUUCGUUCGAUUCUCUUCCCUUUCCGCGUGUGCCGUUGCGUUUUUUUCUUCGUUCUUCCGCUACUCUUCUUUUUUCUUUUCGCCCCUCAUCGUCCGUCUUCUGCAUCGGGCUUCCUUCCUGGAAUCACGACCUGAUCUAUUCACCCCCCUUCCACCACACGUCUUUACUCUUAUGUGUCUAUCCCUGGCGCGCCCUCUUUCUAUGUGUGCCUGUGUGUUUUGCAUGUGCACCUGCGUGUACGAGGGCGGCUUCACGGAUUGCACGUCGCCGGCCUUUACCCCCUUCCCCCCCUCCCCCUCUGCUUUCCUCACGUGCGGGCGUGUGUGUCUUGCUUGACUAUCCCGGCGUUCGCCUGCAAGAGAAACCUUUCCUCCCUCCCCAAAGAAGAAACGGAAAGGGGCUGUACUCCCUUCGCUCGAUGUAAACGUGUGCCAUUUUAUGUUCUCUUUCUUACUAUUUCACCUCGACCUCUUCGCACGAGUGCCGGGUGGGGGAGGGCGCGCGUGUACGUUCUCGCGCACGUGCAUGCCUGGCUGACACUUUUCUUUUUCUUCUUUGCGUUUAUGGUGAUGCGUCGUCGACGUUCGUUUUCGGCGUGCUCUGGCUCACCAAGCCUUUAUUGUCAUGAUUGUGCUUCUUCAUCUUUUUGUUUGCUGUAGAUAAGACUUCCCGAUGACGACCUGCUCACGUAGGUUGUCGUCUGUGCUUUCCGCUUGUGCCCGUCUGCGCCUGUGUGUCGAUGUGCGUUGGAGUAUGCCUUUACGAUGGAGUACAGCUACAAGCUCCUCAGAGCUGCGUGGCCGCCCAGGAGGGUGCCAUCGCGUGAUGUGGACGUCUUUUUUUUUGAAGGGGUUCCUCGUUAUAGUCGCUGCUUUUGGUUUCCGUCUUUCGUCGGGGCUUCGGCUCUCCCCGGCUUCGUUUUUCCUCGAGUCCACUGUGCCGCUCUUCCCUUUCUGUGUUGUGUAUUUCUUUUUUCUUUGCCGUUGCCGAGCGAUUCUAUAGGGCGUUCGUCGGCGGCGUCCACCAGACUUUCACCCGCGCGAACCACUACACGGACUCUCAUGAAUACUUCAACACACGCACACGCGCACGAAUGUGCACGCGUGCGUUUUUCUUCUAUCUUAGCCGAUCUCUCUUUUUGUUUUUUUUUUUUCUCUGUUUCUUUCUUUACGCGUCAACCUGCGCCGAUGCCACUGGGUUGGAGUUGUGGAACGCUGGCGUCUGCCACUGAGCCCUCAGUGAGACGAUGGAGGUGGUAGAGCCAAAAAGGGGAGCGCGCACAUCGCUCUCUUUUCCCUCGUCUGCUCUCUUUUUCGUUUGUUGGCGUGCUGCGCUGCCUUCGCUUUCUUCUCCUGUAUGCAGCGUGUCCGUCUCUCUGCCAUAGCGGGCAUCCGCUCAACUGCCACUCGACCUCCUCCCCCGGGCCUCUCACAGGCUCCACAUCGCGUGGUGCGAAGAAGCCCUAAACACGCACGCGUUACAGCACAACGCGCAGAUUCAGCUAUCUGAACAUGGUCUCUGCUUCAAACGCUGCCCACCACACCAGUGGGCAGUGCGAGGGCCGAGCGGGGUGGAUACGCUCGAGUUACACCGGCACCAUCGGCUAUUAUAUGGAUGUCACGAGCGCGUUCGCUGUCGCAGACCGCUCUGACGUCACUCCGCCCUGAAAUAGGCCCUAUGGUACGAGAAUGCGAGCACGGUGCGCAGGCGCUGCCAUGCACAGCUGGCACGGUGUUCUGCAUCGAAGCGAAGAGCCCAGAGCUGAGAAGGGCAAGAGUGACCGGCGAGCGAGGCGCGAGGAGACCCGCACCAAUCAGCCCCCCGUGCAUGUGUGCGAAGUAUGCAGCAUCACCUGCGUCCGACCGUGUGGGCUGAUGAGGCACCGGUGCUGGGAGCAUGGCGAGAACACGCCGACGCACAGCAUCGGGCCCCCCAGACUCCAACGUAACGAGUGUCCACACCGUCUUGUGGAAUGCCGCGGCUUGAAGCGAUUCAGAGGGAGCAGCAUGGUGCACAGGCAGAGCGCAGGGUCUCCGCGGUCCCUGGCCUGAAGCUGGCCGACUUCCUCCUUGGGCUCGUCCGGCAUGCGCCCGGGCCAACCACUGCUACCCGCCCGACAGACGCCGCCGCUGGUGCCGCUCGAGCAGGGCUCUGAGCGCGGCCCGCUUGGAUGGCGGCGUGCAGCGCACGCGCGACGAAGGGAUGCGGAGGGACGAGACGAGCCCGUCAGCCGCAGCGCGACCGCGGGGGGUGGACUGUGGCUGUGUAGGCGCAUGCUUUGGCUGGCUUGUCUGUGACAGUAAUGGCCACGCCGGCCUUGCACGGGGGGGGCAUACCGUUUCUCUUGGCGCCGUCUGCGCAGCGGUGCGUGCGGCAACGCUUUGGUGUGCGCGCCCGUGUUCGUGGUUGUGGAUGCCUUGUGCCGUGUCUCGUGUAUUUUUUUCUUGCCUCUCAUCUCUCUCUCUCUGUUUGACUCCCCAUACGUCCCAGCUGCGGGUGAAUUUCCUGUCAUCUUCUCAGCAGAGCGACGAUCAGGGGGAAUCUGUCGUCGGUGUGGCGGCUGUGCUGAUGGGGGGGGGCAGUGGCGACAUUGAAUGGCCGCCGCUUCAUACAAGCAUUUAUGUAUAUAUCUAUUUCUAUGUGUACCUCAGAUCCUUCGUUCUCCCUCUGUCUUGUUGUUCGUGCCCUUUUUUUUUUGGGAGUUUCGGUUUUGCACCCUCUCUGGGGUAUGCGCGGGCGAACAAGGAGGAGAGAAGCGGUGCUUGCUCUCCUGGGAAAGGCAUCUCGCACAGCCAUCCCCCCUCAACUCGUCGUCUUGGUUUCGCUCCCGUCUCGGUCUCUCUGUGCCAGCUUGUCUGGAUGCUCCUCCCUAGCCCAAGCCCUAACCCACUCAUUAUGGCGCCCAGAGCCGAGCAGGUGCACAUGCACCCCAAGCACGGAGAGCGUGCUGAGACUUCAUUGUGGUUACCUUUUUUAUUCAAUGCGGGCGCCGUGCCACUCACCUCGUCAGUGCAUCUCGCCGUUUCUUGUCUUUCUGCUGAUGGCUUUCUAUGUGUGUGCACGUAUGCGUGUGCCUGUGGUCCGUCACCCUCUUCUUGCCGGUCGGUGGCUUUAUUUUUGCUUCGCCUUAGGUUUGUCGCUUCGCUCAGUUGGAUUCCACGCUACGGGGACGUAUGUCGGCGACGAGUCCGUCCGCGCGGUGUAUGCCUUUCUUACUUGCUUUUCCAUGCUCCUCGUCACGCUAUCUCCUCUCGUUUUUGUGUUUCCGGUGGCGUGCAUGUCCUGAUAGCCGAGCUGGGGGUGCCACGCAGCGUGUGGCAUCUCAAGGUUCAGCGCAUCCCACACUCUGUAUGGGGUUGGCAGAGCAGUUUAUUGCUGCAGAUAUCGGCUUUCAGGCCCUGGGUAGCGCUGCGCCAGAGAGACCUGCGACAGCGAACACGUGUACGCCAUGCAUAUGAUGGGCAGCGUGUCAGCGUGACUCGAGCGCAUCCCACCCCCGACCCUCGCUGCCUACAGCCGUGUAACCUCAUCCGUCGCGAGGGAUGCGCCGCAUUGCGACCGGCACAAUGGGCGCGGCUGUGAGGCGACCUGCGGGGCGUCGGGUGGGUGGAGUAGCGUUCGGGGCAGAGACCGUGCUUAGAGAGCUGAAGCGGAAAAUCUGUAGCGCGUGUGCCUAGCGCCGCUUGGCGGCACGCGGUGAGGCCUGCCAGAACCCGGGGGGAGAUCAAGUGGAGCUCGACCUCAUGCUGUAUGGCAGAGAAAUGGACACGGCGGCACGAAAAGGAAAGAAGUUCCUCGGUGGAAUCGGCAGUGGUAGCGGGGGCGUGUCCUUUUAGGAGCUGCGCAGUUUUGUGAACGUUGUUUGCCUACUCCCAUGUGCGUGUGCGUGUGGUCGUGCUUGCCGUGUGGGGAGCUCCUUCCUCGGCUUUCUCUCUCUGCCAAGGAUGUGCGGUUGCAGCCGCGCCUUAGUUUGGCACACGAGGGCACAAGCAUACAUUGGCACUGAUAUACAGGACCACGUGGAUCUUUCGGGGGAUUGCCUGCAUGUAAGUAUUAGUCUUCGUCUUCGAAGGUUGUGCUUCUCACACCUCUUCACGGUCACUCGCGUUCGCUUGUGUCUUCUCUCUCCUUUAGUAGUAGUAGCAUGUUUUGUUGUCAGCGCGUUCUCCGCCUCCCAUCAACGAUCUAUCUGUUUCUGCACCCUUCCUUCCUCUUCUUUUCCGUCUCUCUGUAUCUCGAUUUCUUUUGCGUCUGGGCUCAACGACAGUCGGAGAGGGAUUGAGGAGUGCGCGUGUCGGUGUCGAUGCCGAUAUGGGAAGCGCAUGCAAUAGGAGUAACGGCCAAAGAAAAGAAGAAAAAAGCGAAGCCACCCCCCUCCCCCCGUACGUGACGGCGACAGAUGGUGGUAGCCUGACGACAACCACUGUGUCUGCCACGGUCUAACGGGGGAACACCAACGACGGGAAUGGCCGGGCUUCAACCUCGAAGGCUGUGUGGACAAGGAGCUUCACAUUGCUCGCUGAAGCACCUUUCUCUUGCAUCUUCGCUGUGCAGAGAAGGAGCGUGCCAGCAGCGGUUUUUCUGUUCGAUGGGUGUCGCUUGCGCACUGUGACGGCAAACAAAAAACAGGAAGCCAUGGGCUGCAGAAUGCUUUCACGCUUUCUGUCUGUGCGCCCAGCUCGGCCUCGCGUGCUCUCAGUCAGGUGCUUCUCUCACACUGCGUGAACGGCUCGCGCAGAGAGGCGCAAGGACUGGAGGGCGGCGCCUUUUCUGUUC
Molecule: unclassified non-coding RNA, 11118 nt
Filed under: Leishmania donovani
Lineage: Eukaryota; Euglenozoa; Kinetoplastea; Trypanosomatida; Trypanosomatidae
Description: gene:LdHU3.23.1090(CDS-product:hypothetical_prote in)
Source: RNAcentral